GCAGCAAAACCUUUAUCUGCCCCCCACUCCUACAAAACACCUGUAUUGGCUUCUACAGCCACAGCAGAAGCUGGAGAUGCACAUUGAAGGUUGGCAAGAGAAGCGUUACUGAAGUCUUCCAGCCACUGCUUGAAAUAUAAAAUAGAGCAGUCACAGUGCCAAGGGUUGUUGGAGAAAUCAACUUCUUUCAGCAUCUCACAACCAGAUGAUCUCAUCCGUCCAUCAGCCAAUUCUUCUCCUACAAGUGGAAGAAAACAAGGCAAUGCUGAAUGUCACAGCUGUUGCACACUGUGUGUUCUGUUGGAGAAGAGGAAAAGACCCACCUUUAUGUCCACUCAGCUGCCAUGUACGUUUGGGAUGUCACAGGUAGGCUGCAGCCAAUGGCAACAGGUGGGGAUACAUAAUCAUAAUCUUGGGACUCACAACUGUGGGUGUACCACAGCAGUGAUUUAUUUGUGUGCUUGUUUAGCAUUAAAAAUAAUAACG
Long non-coding RNA from Lacerta agilis (Sand lizard), 486 nucleotides. RefSeq lists it as uncharacterized. The record is from RefSeq and is a predicted model, not a curated record. NCBI's taxonomy places the organism in Eukaryota, Metazoa, Chordata, Lepidosauria, Squamata, Lacertidae. The transcript is spliced from 3 exons.